This 468-nucleotide ribosomal RNA is filed under the name uncultured bacterium. Its description in RNAcentral is "partial 16S ribosomal RNA". It matches the Rfam family "Bacterial small subunit ribosomal RNA", at positions 28 to 507 of the family's 1533-position model. The record is from RNAcentral.
GACGAACGCUGGCGGCGUGCUUAACACAUGCAAGUCGAACGGAAAGGCCCGGCUUUUGUGGGUUUCUCGAGUGGCGAACGGGGGAGUAACACGUGAGUAACCUGCCCUUAACUUUGGGAUAACUUCAGGAAACUGGGGCUAAUACCGGAUAGAAUCUCCUGCUGCAUGGUGGGGGUUGGAAAGUUUCGGCGGUUGGGGAUGGACUCGCGGCUUAUCAGCUUGUUGGUGGGGUAGUGGCUUACCAAGGCUUUGACGGGUAGCCGGCCUGAGAGGGUGACCGGCGACAUUGGGACUGAGAUACGGCCCAGACUCCUACGGGAGGCAGCAGUGGGGAAUAUUGCACAAUGGGCGGAAGCCUGAUGCAGCAACGCCGCGUGCGGGAUGACGGCCUUCGGGUUGUAAACCGCUUUCGCCUGUGACGAAGCGUGAGUGACGGUAAUGGGUAAAGAAGCACCGGCUAACUACGUG